GAUGAACGCUGGCGGCGUGCCUAAUACAUGCAAGUCGAGCGAACAGACGAGGAGCUUGCUCCUCUGACGUUAGCGGCGGACGGGUGAGUAACACGUGGAUAACCUACCUAUAAGACUGGGAUAACUUCGGGAAACCGGAGCUAAUACCGGAUAAUAUAUUGAACCGCAUGGUUCAAUAGUUAAAGACGGUUUUGCUGUCACUUAUAGAUGGAUCCGCGCCGCAUUAGCUAGUUGGUAAGGUAACGGCUUACCAACGCGACGAUGCGUAGACGACCUGAGAGGGUGGUCGGACACACUGGAACUGAGACACGGUACAGACUCCGGGGGGAGGCAGCAGUAGGGAAUCUUCCGCGAAGGGCGAAAGCCUGACAGAGCAACGCCGCGGGAGUGAUGAUGGUCUUAGGAUCGGAAAGCUCUGUUAUUAGGGAAGAACAAAUGUGUAAGUAACUAUGCACGUCUUGACGGUACCUAAUCAGAAAGCCACGGCUAACUACGUG
RNAcentral lists this ribosomal RNA (497 nucleotides) under uncultured bacterium. Its description in RNAcentral is "partial 16S ribosomal RNA". It matches the Rfam family "Bacterial small subunit ribosomal RNA", at positions 28 to 507 of the family's 1533-position model. The record is from RNAcentral.